Molecule: ribosomal RNA, 1463 nt
Filed under: uncultured Bordetella sp.
Lineage: Bacteria; Pseudomonadati; Pseudomonadota; Betaproteobacteria; Burkholderiales; Alcaligenaceae
Description: partial 16S-23S ribosomal RNA intergenic spacer
Rfam family: Bacterial small subunit ribosomal RNA
Source: RNAcentral
GUUGAUCCUGUAACAGAUUGAACGCUGGCAGGAUGCUUUACACAUGCAAGUCAGACGGCAGCACGGACUUCGGUCUGGUGGCGAGUGGCGAACGGGUGAGUAAUGCCUGGAGCGUGCCUAGUAGCGGGGGAUAACUACGCGAAAGCGUAGCCUAAUACCACAUACGCCCUUCGAGGAAAGCGAGAGGGACAGCGGGCCUCGCACUGUUAAACGGCCGAUAUCGGAUUAGCUAGUUGGUGGGUAACGGCUCUGGAAAAAGCGAUCCGUAACUGGGUUGGGGACGACCAGCUACAUGGGACCUGAGACACGGCCCAGACUCUACGGGGAGGCAGCAGUGGGGAAUUUUGAACAAUGGGGAAACUGAUCAGCCAUCACGCGUGUGCGAUGCGAAGGCCUUCAGGUUAUGCAAGCACUUUUGGCGGGGAAAGAAACGGCACGGGAUAAUGCCCCGUGCAACUGACAUUACCUGCAGAAUAAGCACCGGCUAACUUCGUGCCAGCAGCCGCGGUAGCCGUAGGGUGCAAGCGUUAAUCGAUUACUGGGCGUAAAGCGUUGCAGGCGGGUUCGGAAAGAAAAAAGAUGUGAAACUCCAGAGCUUAACUUUGGAACUGCAUUUUCAACUACCGAGCUAGAGAGUGUGUCAGAGGGAGGUGGAAUUCCGCGUGUAGCAGUGGAAAUGCGUAGAUAUGCGGAGGAACACCGAUGGCGAGGCAGCCUCCUGGGAUAACACUGACGCUCGUGCACGAAAAGCGUAAGGAGCAAGCAGAGUUAAGAAUACUGGUGCGAUCCACGCUUGCUGAUGUCAACUAGCUGUUGGGGCCUUCGGGCCUUGGUAGCGCAACCCCAACGCGUGAAGUUGACCGCCUGGGGAAGCCACGGUCGCAAGAUUAAAACUCAAAGGAAUUGACGGGGACCCGCACAAGCGGUGGAUGAUGUGGAUUAAUUCGGUGUGAAAAACCUUACCUACCCUUGACAUGUCUGGAAUCGAAGAGAUUUGGGAGUGCUCGCAAGAGAGCCGGAACACAGGUGCCGCGGCUGUCAUCAAACUCAAGGUGUCAGCGAGAUGUUGGGUUAAGUCCCGCAACGAGCGCAACCCUUGUCAUUAGUUGCUACAAAGGGCCUCAUGGGGCUGCACCAGUGACAAACCGGAGGAAGGUGGGGAUGACAUCGAUCCUCAGCCCUUAGGUAGGGCUUCACCGUCAUACAAUGGUCGGAACGGUCGCCAACCCGCGAGGGGAGCCGUCGAGCAUUCGUAGUCCGGAUCACCAGUCUGCAACUCGACUGCGUGAAGUCGGAAUCGCUAGUAAUCGCGGAUCAGCAUGUCGCGGUGAAUACGUUCCGGGUCUUGUACACACCGCCCGUCACACCAUGGGAGUGGGUUUUACCAGAAGUAGUUAGCCUAACCGUAGAGGGCGAUUACCACGGUAGGAUUCAUGACUGGGGUGAAGUCGUAACAAGAGUAA